GUGGGGAAUCUUGCGCAAUGGGCGAAAGCCUGACGCAGCCAUGCCGCGUGAAUGAUGAAGGUCUUAGGAUUGUAAAAUUCUUUCACCGGGGACGAUAAUGACGGUACCCGGAGAAGAAGCCCCGGCUAACUUCGUGCCAGCAGCCGCGGUAAUACGAAGGGGGCUAGCGUUGCUCGGAAUUACUGGGCGUAAAGGGCGCGUAGGCGGACAGUUUAGUCAGAGGUGAAAGCCCAGGGCUCAACCUUGGAAUUGCCUUUGAUACUGGAUGUCUUGAGUACGGGAGAGGUGAGUGGAACUCCGAGUGUAGAGGUGAAAUUCGUAGAUAUUCGGAGGAACACCAGUGGCGAAGGCGGCUCACUGGCUCGAUACUGACGCUGAGGUGCGAAAGCGUGGGGAGCAAACAGGAUUAGAAACCCUGGUAGUCC
Molecule: ribosomal RNA, 425 nt
Filed under: uncultured bacterium
Lineage: Bacteria
Description: partial 16S ribosomal RNA
Rfam family: Bacterial small subunit ribosomal RNA
Source: RNAcentral